AUCGCUGGUUUACGGUUUUGGCGG
RNAcentral lists this non-coding RNA (24 nucleotides) under Arabidopsis thaliana (thale cress). The record is from RNAcentral. Lineage: Eukaryota; Viridiplantae; Streptophyta; Magnoliopsida; Brassicales; Brassicaceae.